UUUGUCAUAGCAUUAUUUCUCUUUAAUUUAGAUUUCUUUGAGACCAGAGUUCUUUUACAUUUAAAGUCUCAGGAACUUGGAAAGAAUGGGCAUCUAUAUUUCAUUUUAAACGAGACUUCUGUACCUCCGGAAUGACAGGCUUUCUCUUUCCCUGAAAACUGCUUCUCAGGGAGCAAAGGAGCGGAGGCAAACAUGAAGGCUGAAAAUGCCUCAUUCUGUGAGGGCCUGGUGUUUCCUGUGCUCCGUGAAGAUAAAGGACAGUGACACGAGUGCUUAUGUCACCAGCCUCCAAUGUCUCUCUCUUUUAUUUUUUAACAGAACAACAAUCUCAAUUUCUAUGACCUUUAUUAGAUCUGUAAACUAGGCCAAAACAGGUCAGCCCUGCACCUCCAAGCACUCUUUACUGUCCCCUGGUGGCUAAAGUGAGAGAAACGUGUUCUUUAAGGACCAAAGCCAAAGAACCAGCAGAUUGGUUCAAUAAUUCUUCCAGCGGGGAGAGAAAAGUUGGCAUAAUAUUAACUGAAUGUUGAGGACAAUUUCGUUCCUCCCUUUUUCUAAUCUUCUGUUUCUAUUUUAUAGCUCCCCCUGUUGGGCCCAGGUAUUUCACUGCUGUCCACCUUUCUUCCCUCCCUCCAUGGUUCCUAACACAUUCCAUACUGAAAGGAGGAGUUCUUCUCUCAGCUACCUAAGGUACAUUUGGUACUGUAAGACCGUGGGCCUUACCAAACGCUCCGAGGAGCUGGCUACAGCGGCAAUCACCCGGGGAGGAACACACCGGACAGUGGGAAGAAAAAAACAGACCUUUAUUAGUCUGGCCAGACGGCACUCCCAAAGCAAGGUAGCUGAGAGAGGCAGCAGGCACAGAAUCCAAAGCUAUUUUUAUAGGAGACUGAAGGGGGGGUUAACAGGCAGGAACGGGAACAAAGGUUUGUGACUCAUUAUUACAUGCUGAUGGUCAGCAGGCACAGAAUCCAAAGCUAUUUUUAUAGGAGACUGAAGGGGGGGUUAACAGGCAGGAACGGGAACAAAGGUUUGUGACUCAUUAUUACAUGCUGAUGGUCAGCAGGCACACAGUAAGACCUUGUGACCACAGGGUCACGGCCGUCACGUACUGAUAGUCAGCACGUCUGGUGACGGUUGUUCUACUGAUAGUGAGUCCGGGAAUUUUCCAAGUUCCGGGCAAACAAGAGGGUGGAUGAUUUAACUAAGAACUCUUAGUUACAGAUUUUAUCUGCUUAGCAAGCACAUUUCUGACCACUAACUCUAAAUAGAACAGAGGCAAGGGGAAUAAAUGAAUUUUGAAUCACACA
Molecule: long non-coding RNA, 1310 nt
Filed under: Heterocephalus glaber (naked mole-rat)
Lineage: Eukaryota; Metazoa; Chordata; Mammalia; Rodentia; Bathyergidae
Description: lncRNA (ENSHGLG00100039781.1)
Source: RNAcentral